Molecule: small RNA, 1013 nt
Filed under: Oryza sativa Japonica Group (Japanese rice)
Lineage: Eukaryota; Viridiplantae; Streptophyta; Magnoliopsida; Poales; Poaceae
Description: sRNA Os01g0333001
Source: RNAcentral
CAUGAACAAAGCAUACUAGCAUAUAUUCGAGGGAUCAAGGCGUGAAAAAAAAUUAUACCUCCUGCUCGUCGCCCUCGACUUCCUCCUCUUCCUCUUCGUCAUCGUCGUCGUCGUCGUCAUCAUCAUCGUCGUCGUCAUCGUCGUCGCCGCCAUCCCCCUCCUCGCCGUCCUCCUCAUCCUCCUCGUCGGAGAUCUCUACGACGGUGUGCCCCGCCGCGCCCUUCUCCCCCUCCUCGGCGUCCUCCUCCUCGUCGUCCCCCUCCUCCUCUCCAUCCCCCUCCUCGUCGCCGUCGCCCUCUUCCCCAUCUACCGCCUCCUCCUCGACCUCCUCCUCCCCGUUCACCACCUCUUCCUCCUCCACCGCCGCCUCCUCCGCCUUCUUGGCCGCCGCCGCUGCAGCAGCAGCGGCCUUCUUCCGGGCAAGCUCCGCCGCCCGCUCGUCCCCCUCCUCCACCUCGACCGCCGGCUUCAUCUCAAGAAGCGAAUCAAAAAAAAUCAAGAAGAAGAAAGAAAUCUCUCCCUUUGCUUUGGUUUGGUGCUGUGGCGGCGGAAAAAUCAGGGGAAAAUUUGGGGCGAAUUUGUAAGCGGCGCGGGGAAGAACAGGGGGCGGGGCGGGGCGGAUGCCUGCGGGGAGAUCCUGGCCGUCCGAGACAAGAACAGUCACGCGGAUCGAUGACGUGGCGGACGAUCGGACGGCUGCGGGGGAUCGGUUCGUGCCUUCGUGGAGGGGGAGGACUCCGGAGUCCGGAGACGGGGUAGGAGGAGAACGCUAGGGCUGACGUCAGCGUGAGGGAGAUUCUUUUUUCCCAAGAAAAUAAAAAAAAACUCUGGAUUCACGCUCUCUUCUAAAUUCUGAUUAUAGUAAAAUAAAAUCAGUUGGUAUACAUUAAGAUUUAGAUUUAUCGCCCAAAAAUAAACUGUUGCAUUUUUUUAUUUACUUUCUUAGAAUGUAAACAUCCCGGCAAAUGACCUCAUGGUCUACCAAAAAUAUUUCUCCUAAUUAAACUUCUCUU